Molecule: long non-coding RNA, 2568 nt
Filed under: Nicotiana benthamiana
Lineage: Eukaryota; Viridiplantae; Streptophyta; Magnoliopsida; Solanales; Solanaceae
Description: long non-coding RNA (NBEN_LNC024137)
Source: RNAcentral
CAGCCCGAAUCCCCCAAGACCCGAUCCGGGUCCUCAAUAAGUCCAAACGACGUCGUUUUCCAAGAGUCAAUCACAGCCGUUGUUUCUUAGUCAAACGGAAGAGAUCGUCCUAUGAUAUUUUUAUAUAUAUGCCCGAAAACCUUAUCCUCCCCCCCCCUUUCAAACCCCGUGGUCUAUCACCUAAACCCUAACUAGUCAGACACCCUUACAUCCCUCAUCGACAGCGUCGUCGGACAAGACAUGACUUUCUGUGGUGACUCUCAAAGUCACAGCCAUAGACCGCCUAGACGCCCUUAUCACAGAUAUACCAUCAUUUCCCUUCAAAUAUGACUUUUCCAUCUCAAAUAUUGAAGACUGGCGUCGCUACUUCUGCCACCCACGACGACGCCGGUCACAAAAACCGACCAAAAUAACACCAAUUUCUCUCCUUACUUUCCUCUUUCCAACCAUGCGACCAACUUCCUUCGAAUCAAACUCCACCCUCUUGAAUAUAUGUCUGAAGCUCAGGCCCAAAAUAACACCUUGUCCAAAUGGCUCCAAACUCGCACCCCACAAUCCCUUAACCUCCCUCGUGACAAUUUCCAUCCAGAAUCUCUCGAAUCUCAGUAGAGUUGGGGAUUUUUGGAUCUAGGGUUCAUGUAAUCCGACUAUUUUGGGAAUAAUUCAGGGUCGAUCAGGUUCUAUAGUAAGUGUUCCAUUUGUUUUACGUUUUAUUUUGUUUAUCAGGAAAGUUUAAUUGCUUUUUUGCUGCUUUUAUUCCAUCUGUUUUAAUCAAUGAAUUUUCUUCUCGUUUUUAGUUUUGUUUUAGUCUGAUGCAUAUGUCAUCUGCUAGUUACUCAUAGUUUUAAUUUCAGAAUCUUCUUAAUUGAUUAGUUUGGACUCGAUACAAUUCUGUCCGUUAAUUGUUAGCAAGAUGUUUAGGCUAAUUUCAAUUUAUUUUAGUUCUAAGUUGAUGUUUAAAUGUUCAAUUGUUAGCUUAUUGGUGAAAUGUUAGUUUAAUUUCAUUUAUUUCCGACUAUUAGUCUAGCUUUGCAUUGUUGAUCAUAGUCCCGUGAUUUUUAAAUCUGAUUGAGUUUCUGUGAAUGAAUAAUUGUGAUUUGUUGCUUCAGUUAGUUAAUUUCUGAGUUUUAAUUAAUCACUCCUAGUUUGUUUUGAAUUAAAUUAGGGGAUUGGUUAUAGCUGUUAAAGUUUAGGUAGAAUUAGUAAUUUGGAGAAGUUUUCAGGGGUACUUUUGGCAUGAGAAAUGGCUGGUUUAUCAGGAAAAGUAAUUUCAAACAAAGAAAGGGUAGCGUAGGUAUUGUAUGGGUAGAAGAACCCCCUAGGGUCUUCUAGAAUAGGACAUUAGUGUAGAUUUCAGCCAAUUUAGGACACUAGCAUGGGUAACAAGUUAAAAGAUGAGGGAUUAAAGUUGAUAAUAAAUAGGGACAAAUAGGGAAACGGAAAUGUGAGAGCUGCCCUCCUUUAGGCCUAUAAAAAGACAUCAAAAUGCCUUGAUGAACAUGUUUGGAAGAAUAAAAUUCCCCCCCACCCCCUUCCCAACACGCCCUCUUCAAGUUUCAGAUUUGAGAAUUCAAAUCUGAGACCCAAAACUUCUUCUAGUUACUAGUUAAAACAAAAACAAAAAACAAAAUUCCAUAGGAAAACCCCAAGAAAUUACUGUUCCAUCAGCAUUCUAGAUGAGCUUUACCUUUUAGCUAUUUUCUUUACAUUUUCCUAGUAUAGUUUCUGGUCAUUCGAAGUUCAGAGGUGUUGUUGAUCAAUUUUGAGUGAAUUUAGGUUCAAUUGAGACUGUUUCAAGCUGUUUUAUUAUAUGGUGAUUUCAACAAUGGUUCUGAUUUAGUUUUGAGUCUAUCUGGGUAUUUUCGAGUCAUUUUGAGGUCAAACAGGUGAGAUUAGGGCUGUUUUGUUGCUUCUCUCUAUUACUCCCCUGGGUGCUACAAUAUCGAUUUGGUCGUAGAAUUGGUCACGUUUGCUAUUGUAUACUGUUGCUGCCUAGCUGAACUCUCUCUUAUUAUUUGUUAUUUCACAUAUGUAGGUACUAAUUGAACUCAGCUUGAUGUUGCUUUGCUUAUGGAAAGUAUAAAAUGAAAUUGACGCAGAGUUCUUUCUGAGAAAUUGCAUUUUUACAAUUUCAUUAUGUUCUGAAUUAGUUGUUUUGUGUAUUCAAACUAGGACUGUUUUCAAUUUUUUUUUAUUCAAGGUCUGUUUGGAUUUUCAGAGGAAUGUUUAGUAGUUUGUGUUCGUUUAAUGUAUGUUAUUAGUAUAGCAUAGUAUAGUGUAUGUAGUUUCAGCUUUCAAUGAUGUUAAGUCUAGUUUGUGUAUCAGUGUUAGUGUCAACAAUGCCGUUUUUAUGUGAAUCAGAAACUAAUUGAGUAAUGGCUAUGUAACGAUCAUCUCAUCAGUUUAAAAAUAGUUGUAUGUUCAAAAUUUUGGGUGUCGUUGAUUUGUUCAUGCGGAAGGUCUAGUAAAAUCACGUACUUAAGCUUCGUUCUUGUAAUCAUGUUCCCGAUUCCAAUUUAGUUGUCAUUUUUUAUAAGAGUUGGGAAUUCAUUAAUAGAAAAGUAAGUG